CGGUGUUAAGAUCUCGCGUGUUUCAUCUUUUAUACUAACGCUACUAAAAUAUCGUUUAAUUAGUAUUACUGAUUGAUUUGUUAAGAGAAGAUUAUCGAGGGAAACUUCGAAAUUCAAAAGGGUCCUACCAGUGACCAAUGAUAAAUUCUACAGUUUCUCAUGGAGGUAAAAUAAUAUUUGAUUUAUUUUAACAAAGAAAGGGACGCUAUCAUGGAUAAAUUUGAAUGUUCUGCGCAUUACAUCGUUUGCGUAUUGCGCAGCUUUAUUUAACAGCCUAAAAAAGGGCGCGAUAUUUGAUUAAUAUUUGAUUAAUAUGAAAUGCUUAAC
Molecule: long non-coding RNA, 327 nt
Organism: Frieseomelitta varia
Lineage: Eukaryota; Metazoa; Arthropoda; Insecta; Hymenoptera; Apidae
Exons: 3
Source: RefSeq, a predicted model, not a curated record